Molecule: long non-coding RNA, 1509 nt
Filed under: Citrus sinensis (sweet orange)
Lineage: Eukaryota; Viridiplantae; Streptophyta; Magnoliopsida; Sapindales; Rutaceae
Description: long non-coding RNA (CSIN_LNC004417)
Source: RNAcentral
GCUUAAAGAAGGCCUUAAUCAAACUACUGAAAAAAAAGUUAAUAACUUUCCUAUUGGUAGUAGGUCAUUAGUAAUGAAACUAGUAAGCGGAUUGUGAAUCCAUGAAUAUUUGAGUCGGAAGACUCAUAAAAAAAGUAGAAUAUCCGAUGGACGGACAAGAGAUUCUUUUGAACAAGUUAUUAUAAUAAGAAAAUCUUAUAAUGUAUCUUGAAACUAGUUCAUCAAAUUGAUGAUAAAGUAUAUAGACAUUCCAGUUGGCAUUAUGCAAUUGUUACCCAACAACCCCUUAAAGGAAGACCCAAACAAAGGGAACAAUAGGUAGAAGAACUAGUGACAUGACCCGCCCCGACCUACAUGUCUGAUUUGAGGCGAAUCGUGCGGACUAAUAGCUAAAACUUGUGGCACGAAUUUAAUUCAUGAAAAUAUGUAUAUAAUAUGGCCUUUCCUAUAAACACAUAACCACCUCUGUGCCUUUUCUGAAAUCAUAAAUGUAUUCAAAACUUGCAUAACUUAUGUCUCAUUGUACAUACCGACAUUACAUGUAUAUGUGCAUAUAAAACAUAAGCAACAUAAACGUGCUCAAAAUGCAAGACAUGCAGCAAUGCGUCUCGUGGCCCAACCUCAAUUAACUAGAACUGAUUUGGACGAAAUUCUGCGGAAUCCUAGGAGGAAAGGGGUAAAUAGAAAAAUAGUGAGCUUGCGGCUCAGUGAGUGGAUGUAAUUAUAUAUUAAAAAUAUUAAUAGUAAUAAUUAUAAUAAAAUAUGUGUACUAGUUCUUAUACAUAAUCAUGCAACAUAACUCCACAUUGAAUACCACACAUCAGCAAUCGGGAUCAUCAUCGCACAAGUAGAGCAGAGGAAAAACCUCUCAAUACCCUGCGGAAUUUAGCUACAUCGCUCGAAUAGAGUAACCUAACUCUCAAUACGCAUGCGUAGAGUCUAGGGGGAUAGGUACAUAUAUGGUAACUGACAAUCACAUCUCAUGACUCAAUCAAACAAAUAAUAUGCGUACAUAUAAUCAUAACAUGAUAUUAAAUCAUAAUAUCAAACAUAAAUUCUGCACAUAAUACAUAAUAGUAAUAAUAAUAUCCACUCACAAAUCCUGUUUCACUUUGAGGUUCAUUGGGGCUCUUGUAGGUUCUUGGAUUCUCGAGUUCCUCCUAAAAUACAGGGUUCGAAAAUUAACUGUUAGAACUGAUAUAAAAACUUAUACGUAGCAUGUAAAUUGUAACAUAACCGCUCAAAUUUCAUAAAUCUAUUACCCACUGAUCCAAUGGAUAUAAUUCUAACUAUCCAAUUCUAUUUUCUGUAACUUUUCUUUUCAAUUUCUCUCUUCCCCACUCUCGGCUUAUUCCUUUUCCUUCCUCCUUUUCUUUUCUUCUUUUCUUUUUUUCUUUUCCUUCUCUUUUCUCUCGGUUUCUCUUCUUUUCUUCUCUCGGUCUUGCUUUGUUUUUGCUCUCGGUUCUCAAAUUUAGUAAAUGAAGCAAUUCUCAAAAUGUUUCAUUUUAU